This 493-nucleotide ribosomal RNA is filed under the name uncultured bacterium. Its description in RNAcentral is "bacterial SSU rRNA". It matches the Rfam family "Bacterial small subunit ribosomal RNA", at positions 30 to 518 of the family's 1533-position model. The record is from RNAcentral.
UGAACGCAGCGACAGGCCUAACACAUGCAAGUCGAGGGGCAGCACAAGGAGCAAUCUGAGGUGGCGACCGGCGCACGGGUGAGUAACACGUAUGCAACCUGCCUGUAAGCGGGGAAUAACCCGUUGAAAGACGGACUAAUACCGCAUAAUACUAAAUUACUGCAUGGUAAUUUAUUUAAACAUUUAUGGCUUACAGAUGGGCAUGCGCAUGAUUAGCUAGUUGGAGAGGUAACGGCUCCCCAAGGCAACGAUCAUUAGGGGUUCUGAGAGGAAGGUCCCCCACACUGGUACUGAGACACGGACCAGACUCCUACGGGAGGCAGCAGUGAGGAAUAUUGGUCAAUGGACGAGAGUCUGAACCAGCCAAGUCGCGUGCAGGAAGAAUGUCCCUAUGGAUUGUAAACUGCUUUUGCAGGGGAAUAAAGUGCAUCACGUGUGAUGUUUUGUAUGUACUCUGCGAAUAAGGAUCGGCUAACUCCGUGCCAGCCGCGGC